RNAcentral lists this ribosomal RNA (935 nucleotides) under marine metagenome. RNAcentral describes it as "bacterial SSU rRNA". It matches the Rfam family "Bacterial small subunit ribosomal RNA", at positions 602 to 1467 of the family's 1533-position model. The record is from RNAcentral.
UUAGCAGUGACUGCUAAAUCAAUUUUUAAUAACAAGUCACUUGGGUGAAAGAGAGGAUUGUAGAAUUUCAAGUGGAGAAAUAAAAUUCGCAGAUUUUUGAAGGAAUGUCAAAAGCGAAGGCAACAAUCUGGCUUUACACCGACGCUGAUUCACGAAAGCUUGGGUAGCAAACAGGAUUAGAGACCCUGGUAGUCCAAGCCGUAAACGAUGAGCACUCAUUUUUGGACAAUAAUGGUUCAGAAAUUUAGCUAACGCGUUAAGUGCUCCGCCUGAGAAGUACAGCGGCAACGCUGAAACUCAAAGGAAUUGACGGGGAUUUAUACAAUUCGUGGAACAUGUGGUUUAAUUCGUAAAUACACGCAAAACCUUACCAACCUUUGAAUAAUUUUGUAAUUCUGAUGAAGAAAUUUGUUAUGUUAAGAAUUACAGGUGCUGCAUGGCUGUCGUCAGCUCGUGUCUUGAGAUGUUAGGUUAAGUCCAGCAACGAGCGAAACCCUUUUUCUUUGUUACAAAAGAAUUUUUAGUUGAUUUUAUAAAUUGGUUUGCGUUCGUGUACUUAAAGAGCAUUGCCUGCGAUAUGUGGGAUGAAAGAAAGGAUGACGUCAAGUCUUCAUGGCCCUUAUAGGUUGGGCUACACAUGUGUUACAACGAUGACAACAGCAAGUUGCAAUGAUGAAAAUUGAAGCAAAUCUUUUAAAAGUCAUCUCAGUUCGGAUCAUUUUCUGAAACUUGAAAAUGUGAAGUUGGAAUGAAUAGUAAUCGUCUAUCAGCAAGGGACGGUGAAUUUUGUACCUAAAUCUUGUACAUACCGCCCGUCACAUCAAGAGAGUUUGCUCAACUUGAAGGCACCGUUGGCAGCUGAACCUCAGACUCUUUGGGCAGCUCACGAUUGUUCAUUUUCUGUCGUUCGAAGACAGGCUGUGCUUAGAACUGAG